This 240-nucleotide ribosomal RNA is filed under the name uncultured bacterium. RNAcentral's name for it is "partial 16S ribosomal RNA". It matches the Rfam family "Bacterial small subunit ribosomal RNA", at positions 15 to 236 of the family's 1533-position model. The record is from RNAcentral.
GAUCCUGGCUCAGGAUGAACGCUGGCGGCGUGCUUAACACAUGCAAGUCGAACGAAGCACUUAAGACAGAUUCUUCGGAUGAAGUUUUUUGUGACUGAGUGGCGGACGGGUGAGUAACGCGUGGGUAACCUGCCUCAUACAGGGGGGAUAACAGUUAGAAAUGACUGCUAAUACCGCAUAAGCGCACAGGGUCGCAUGACCUGGUGUGAAAAACUCCGGUGGUAUGAGAUGGACCCGCGU